Molecule: long non-coding RNA, 310 nt
Organism: Saccostrea echinata
Lineage: Eukaryota; Metazoa; Mollusca; Bivalvia; Ostreida; Ostreidae
Exons: 2
Source: RefSeq, a predicted model, not a curated record
UUCAUGAAAUCACCAAAACGUUUCGACAGUAAGUGGAAUUUUGCUUGACUCAAACGUUUGAUCAACAUUGAUUAUCAGCUGUAUGGGAAACGUGCAGCUUUUAAACGAAGUGUGAAUUUGGUAACAGGAAUUUCUUUUACGUGCUUUUGGCCAUUUACCAUGUUUACAUGUUAUGUUAUAUCUAGCACUGGAUAACACAUGCUAGUUGGAUAAAAAUAAUAUUGGAGAAGAUCCCAUCAGCUAUUCUCAAGAAAAUGCUGUUUUAAUUUUUCUUUUGUCUAUUUUUGUAAAUUUAAAUAAAAAUUAUGUA